UGUUACUUUUUUAUAGGAUAUUUUGGAAUAGUAAUGUUAAUGAAAUUUAACGGAUUUGGCGGCAAGAUAGCCCCUUAGAGGAACCUGCCCUGUAAACGAUGAGCCACGAGAACCUUACUUUUUUAGGAAAUUCAGUUUGUAUACCGCUGUUGUCAGUCAGAUUCUGGAGAAUAUUUUCUUAUAUGAUAAAAUCAUUGACUUCAAGUAAAGGUGCAGCUUAUAAAAAAGAUAGAGGUGGGUUACAUUUAUGAGAUUAAGGACGGAAAAGAUUUUUGAAAUGGUCUUUGAAGGUGGAUUUAACUGUAAAAUUAAUUAAGAUUUGGUGAGAGCUCUAUCUUGUG
RNAcentral lists this ribosomal RNA (341 nucleotides) under Austrobalanus imperator. Its description in RNAcentral is "partial 12S rRNA". The record is from RNAcentral. Lineage: Eukaryota; Metazoa; Arthropoda; Thecostraca; Balanomorpha; Tetraclitidae.